GAUGAACGCUGGCGGCGUGCCUAAUACAUGCAAGUCGAGCGAACGGACGAGAAGCUUGCUUUUCUGAUGUUAGCGGCGGACGGGUGAGUAACACGUGGAUAACCUACCUAUAAGACUGGGAUAACUUCGGGAAACCGGAGCUAAUACCGGAUAAUAUUUUGAACCGCAUGGUUCAAAAGUGAAAGACGGUCUUGCUGUCACUUAUAGAUGGAUCCGCGCUGCAUUAGCUAGUUGGUAAGGUAACGGCUUACCAAGGCAACGAUGCAUAGCCGACCUGAGAGGGUGAUCGGCCACACUGGAACUGAGACACGGUCCAGACUCCUACGGGAGGCAGCAGUUGGGAAUCUUCCGCAAUGGGCGAAAGCCUGACGGAGCAACGCCGCGUGAGUGGUGAAGGUCUUCGGAUCGUAAAACUCUGUUAUUAGGGAAGAACAUAUGUGUAAGUAACUGUGCACAUCUUGACGGUACCUAAUCAGAAAGCCACGGCUAACUACGUG
RNAcentral lists this ribosomal RNA (497 nucleotides) under uncultured bacterium. RNAcentral describes it as "partial 16S ribosomal RNA". It matches the Rfam family "Bacterial small subunit ribosomal RNA", at positions 28 to 507 of the family's 1533-position model. The record is from RNAcentral.